UGGAAAUAAAUAAUAGUCACUGGAGCCAA
RNAcentral lists this small RNA (29 nucleotides) under Bombyx mori (domestic silkworm). Its description in RNAcentral is "piRNA piR-bmo-2108546". The record is from RNAcentral. Lineage: Eukaryota; Metazoa; Arthropoda; Insecta; Lepidoptera; Bombycidae.